RNAcentral lists this transfer RNA (72 nucleotides) under Camelus bactrianus (Bactrian camel). It matches the Rfam family "tRNA". Rfam says of the family: Transfer RNA (tRNA) molecules are approximately 80 nucleotides in length. Their secondary structure includes four short double-helical elements and three loops (D, anti-codon, and T loops). Further hydrogen bonds mediate the characteristic L-shaped molecular structure. tRNAs have two regions of fundamental functional importance: the anti-codon, which is responsible for specific mRNA codon recognition, and the 3' end, to which the tRNAs corresponding amino acid is attached (by aminoacyl-tRNA synthetases). tRNAs cope with the degeneracy of the genetic code in two manners: having more than one tRNA (with a specific anti-codon) for a particular amino acid; and 'wobble' base-pairing, i.e. permitting non-standard base-pairing at the 3rd anti-codon position. Lineage: Eukaryota; Metazoa; Chordata; Mammalia; Artiodactyla; Camelidae. The record is from Rfam by way of RNAcentral. RNAcentral also lists the same sequence under 2 other names.
GGGGAUGUAGCUCAGUGCUAGAGCACGUGCUGAGUAUGCAUGAGGUCCUAGGUUCCAUCCCCAGUACCUCCG